Molecule: ribosomal RNA, 533 nt
Filed under: uncultured beta proteobacterium
Lineage: Bacteria; Pseudomonadati; Pseudomonadota; Betaproteobacteria
Description: bacterial SSU rRNA
Rfam family: Bacterial small subunit ribosomal RNA
Source: RNAcentral
CGCGGGGGCAACCCUGGCGGCGAGCGGCGAACGGGUGAGUAAUGUAUCGGAACGUACCCAGUCGUGGGGGAUAACACAGCGAAAGCUGUGCUAAUACCGCAUACGUCCUGAGGGAGAAAGCGGGGGACCUGUAAGGGCCUCGCGCGAUUGGAGCGGCCGAUAUCGGAUUAGCUAGUUGGUGAGGUAAAGGCUCACCAAGGCGACGAUCCGUAGCUGGUCUGAGAGGACGACCAGCCACACUGGAACUGAGACACGGUCCAGACUCCUACGGGAGGCAGCAGUGGGGAAUUUUGGACAAUGGGGGAAACCCUGAUCCAGCCAUUCCGCGUGAGUGAAGAAGGCCUUCGGGUUGUAAAGCUCUUUCAGCAGGAACGAAACGGUCAUUUUUAAUAAAGAUGGCUAAUGACGGUACCUGAAGAAGAAGCACCGGCUAACUACGUGCCAGCAGCCGCGGUAAUACGUAGGGUGCGAGCGUUAAUCGGAAUUCUGGGCGUAAAGCGUGCGCAGGCGGUUUUGUAAGACAGAUGUGAAAU